AGUGAACGCUGGCGGUAGGCCUAACACAUGCAAGUCGAACGGCAGCACAGUAAGAGCUUGCUCUUACGGGUGGCGAGUGGCGGACGGGUGAGGAAUACAUCGGAAUCUACUUUUUCGUGGGGGAUAACGUAGGGAAACUUACGCUAAUACCGCAUACGACCUACGGGUGAAAGCAGGGGAUCUUCGGACCUUGCGCGAUUGAAUGAGCCGAUGUCGGAUUAGCUAGUUGGCGGGGUAAAGGCCCACCAAGGCGACGAUCCGUAGCUGGUCUGAGAGGAUGAUCAGACACACUGGAACUGAGACACGGUCCAGACUACUACGGGAGGCAGCAGUGGGGAAUAUUGGACAAUGGGCGCAAGCAUGAUCCAGCCAUACCGCGUGGGUGAAGAAGGCCUUCGGGUUGUAAAGCCCUUUUGUUGGGAAAGAAAAGCAGCAGGUUAAUACCCCGCUGUUCCGACGGUACCCAAAGAAUAAGCACCGGCUAACUUCGUG
Molecule: ribosomal RNA, 492 nt
Filed under: uncultured bacterium
Lineage: Bacteria
Description: partial 16S ribosomal RNA
Rfam family: Bacterial small subunit ribosomal RNA
Source: RNAcentral